GGGCUUGACAUGCACUGGAAACCGGCAGAGAUGUCGGCCCCCUUGUGGCCGGUGUACAGGUGGUGCAUGGCUGUCGUCAGCUCGUGUCGUGAGAUGUUGGGUUAAGUCCCGCAACGAGCGCAACCCUUGUCCUGUGUUGCCAGCGCGUAAUGGCGGGGACUCGCGGGAGACUGCCGGGGUCACU
This 184-nucleotide ribosomal RNA is filed under the name uncultured Amycolatopsis sp. RNAcentral describes it as "partial 16S ribosomal RNA". It matches the Rfam family "Bacterial small subunit ribosomal RNA", at positions 977 to 1162 of the family's 1533-position model. The record is from RNAcentral. Lineage: Bacteria; Bacillati; Actinomycetota; Actinomycetes; Pseudonocardiales; Pseudonocardiaceae.